ACUCCUGCGGGAGGCAGCAGUGGGGAAUAUUGCACAAUGGGCGCAAGCCUGAUGCAGCCAUGCCGCGUGUAUGAAGAAGGCCUUCGGGUUGUAAAGUACUUUCAGCGGGGAGGAAGGCGAUAAGGUUAAUAACCUUGUUGAUUGACGUUACCCGCAGAAGAAGCACCGGCUAACUCCGUGCCAGCAGCCGCGGUAAUACGGAGGGUGCAAGCGUUAAUCGGAAUUACUGGGCGUAAAGCGCACGCAGGCGGUCUGUCAAGUCGGAUGUGAAAUCCCCGGGCUCAACCUGGGAACUGCAUUCGAAACUGGCAGGCUAGAGUCUUGUAGAGGGGGGUAGAAUUCCAGGUGUAGCGGUGAAAUGCGUAGAGAUCUGGAGGAAUACCGGUGGCGAAGGCGGCCCCCUGGACAAAGACUGACGCUCAGGUGCGAAAGCGUGGGGAGCAAACAGGAUUAGAAACCCGUGUAGUCCCAUGAU
This 475-nucleotide ribosomal RNA is filed under the name uncultured organism. Its description in RNAcentral is "partial 16S ribosomal RNA". It matches the Rfam family "Bacterial small subunit ribosomal RNA", at positions 335 to 801 of the family's 1533-position model. The record is from RNAcentral.